AUGAAAUCAGGAAGGAAUACUCAAACAACCUCAACCAUAUCUGUUAAGUUUUCAAAAAACUGGAGCAAACCUUGGCAUUUUGUCUUGCUUUCAUACAGCUGUGUGGUGAGUGGAUGCAAGGGGAUUCAUGUUUUGUUAUUUUCAGCAGAGGGCUGCCCUACUUCAGACAGAACUAUUCACAUCACUGUCAAUGUGAAGGGUAUCCUAUGGAGCCAUGUGGUCCACAGCCUGCCUGGUAAUAUGAAGCAGUCUUAAAAGCUACAUGUUGUAGCAGAAAGAACGGAGACUUCAGAAUUCUAGUUUCACCUCCUAGUAACAUGUCUUAGGUAUGUUCUGUUUAACAAAUAUGUAUGUGGUCCAUAUUUGUACAUUUUUUCGGUAUGACACAUAUUAUUAUUUAAUCUGCUUGAAGCAAUGUACUUAACUUCUAGAAACUCCUGUUUUCUUACUCGUAAAAUGUUAAUAAUGUAUUCUCCCUUGCAGGGUUAAUGAAAGAAAUAGAGAAAAAACAUGAGAAGCGUGUACCACCAAGUAAACAUUCACUGAAUGGUACCUAUUUUAGUCACUUAGAAAAAUCCUCAUAGAUUUUAAACAGACUAGCCUCGAGUUAUACAAAUAAGCACUAUUAAUGGCAGAAAUGAAAGUAGUUAACUCCAAAGGAUUAAUUCACUGCUGAAGACAGUAUUUUUCAUGAAUCAACAAAAGGGCUUCUGAAAGAUUUCAGACUAUCUAGUCUUUGGUCAUGAAUUCUGUUUAAAACAAGAAAGUUGAGCCAAAGAAGCAAAAGAAUGAGGAGGAGGGGUAGGAGGAGGAGGGAGAGGAGGAUGAGGAAGUCAGGAAUGGAUGGACAGGGUGAGAGAAGGAGAAGAAAGAAAGAAAACAGAGAGAGAAGAAAGAAGUAAAGAGAAAGAAAAAAAAGAAAGAGAAAAAGAAAGAAAGAAAGAAAGAAAGAAAGAAAGAAAGAAAGAGAAAGAAGAAGAAGGAAAGGAAGGAAGGAAAGAAAGAAACAAAAAGGAAGGAAGGAAACAAAGGAAAUGAAGGAAAAGGAAGCAGGAAAGACAGAACGAUGGAUUUGACUCUGGAAGAUUAAAGAAAUAUAUGCAGUGUGAAUUGAUUAGAAGAAAAUCAAGUGUCUAUAAUAGGUGAAGGAUAUAAAACCAAGGAUAAGAGGAAAUCUGCUAUCAGAAGAGAAGGAAGUAUUAAAGGGUAGUUGCAUAACUUGUGUCAGUAAAGGAUGACUUGGUGAACCCACUCAGCUGGGUGGGAUGGUCACUAUGAUAGUAUUUCAAUAGACAGACCUUUCAGGGACAAAAGCAGACCCCCGCCCCCCGCCACUAAUUGCCUUUUUCUGACAUGGAAAUAUGGGGCAAGUUUAUGUUACCUCCAGUCCAUUGGGUUACUCACCUUCUGAGAAUAGUGUGACCCUAGUGACAGAGUAUCUUUCACAAAAGCCCUAAUGUUGGCCAAACUGUCAUACCACUGCUAACCUCCAUCUGAUUUCCACCCUCAGAGCACCUCUGAAAGGAAGAGGAGUUCCAAGAAAGUGAGGCAGGGAAGCAGUGGUAUGCCUUCUUCCUAUUGAGUUAAGUACUGAUUUAUAAUGAAAUAACCUCAUUGUUAGAUUUGUCUGUCUAAUUUUUUAAACAAACACUACCAGAAUUUUUUUAAUUGUAUGACAAAAUUUUUAAUUGUAUGACGAAAUGACAUAUUUAUUCAGCAAUACUAAGUUGCAUUAACUUGGAAUGUUGUUUUCUUUAUUGUUUUUAAAAGAGAUCCUUUUAAAAGGUACCCACUGUAAAUAUUUAAUGCAUACAGUAUGUAACGUCUAGUGAAAAGAGGAAACUGUGAUCUUGAAUUUGGAGUCAGGCAGAGGGCUGCUGCAAUACUCCUGUGAUUCAGUGUCAAGACAGAAAGCCACACUUCAGCAGCUUUUCCUCAGAUUCCUUCUCAUGGAGACAAUGCCCUUUUAACUACAAAGAAGUGGAAAUUCGUGUUAAGCUUUUCAAUGCAAUUAUCGAAACCUGUAGGUGAUACUCCUAACCCUCUGGUUUAUAGAUUUUGGUUUUAUCUUUUUAAGAGAAUUUCCAGCUGAGUGUAUAGUCUACCAAAUAAAAAGUGUGUUCAUUUUUAUGGCACACUUGAAUGUUUUCUAUUCCUUUCCUCUUCCUUUUGCUCCUCUUGGAUAGGUUUGACGCGGUUCCAUGUAAAAAAUGGGCCAAAAUCAUGAAGGUCUUUAAUUCUUACUGAUUUUUUCCAUUCCUUAACAACUAUAAUCAGAGUCAAUUUAAACAAAUUUUUAAGCUAGGUUGCUUUUUUCUUUCUUCUGAAAGAUGAAAAGGUCCAUCCUUACUUAGAGAAUUUUAAUCGGAGGUAUUCCUCUCAUGUAUUGUACACUAUUUCUUUUUAUGAAAUUUAGAAAACAGCAAAAAGUCACUGACAAUAAAUCUAAAGAUACAAAAAGUACAAAAUCUUCAAGCAUAAUUAAGAUAAAAUUAGAUGAGUAAGAAAGUAACAUCAAAACAGAAAAGCAGUUUCUACAUGAGGCCAAAAAAUAUUUUUAAAAAUAAUUAAAUACAAAAUAAUGAAAUGAGAAGGGAAGUAUAAAAAACACAUUUAUAAGAAAUCAAUACAGUUAGUGUAUAACAACUCUUAAAAGAGAUGUAUACCAGAAGAGGCAGAAACUAUAACAGUAGUUCUUUGUGAUACCCUAUUUCUAAGUGUUUUCUUUAAGAAUGAGGCUUUAAUUAUCAAAGGAAUGUUUAAAAUGAAUUACUACAUACAUGUAUUACCUAAAACAGUCUAUUGUGAAUACUAUAUAUCAAUCAUUUUAUACCUUUGAAGAUUAUACUUUGACAUCCUCAAAGUGAUCAAGAGGAAUCAAAUUCAAACCCCAGGGUAUAAACAGUAACAGGGAAAGGUCAGGUUGAAUUUUUUUUUUCCGUGUUUGUAAUGGUGAGAGUGGGUUUAAUUCUUGAUGGAACAAAGUGAACCUUUAUUUUGAUAGUUUCUCUUCUUUAGAAAAUUGGAUGAAAACAGCUGACUUACAGCAGGCGAGAGAAUUUCUAGCUGUAAGGAACAUACAUAAUGCUUAAUCAAAUUUUUCAUGGCUUAAAAAGUGUCACACAAUUCUAUAUAGAUAGGGUAGAAUGCCAGCUGGCUUGGGCACAAAGCUCCUAGCUUUGUUGAAAACAUCCACAUGCAGUGAAAAUGUGACAUUUCUUUCAAUAUCUUCCUCUCUCUUUUUCAGUAUACUGCAAACAUUUUGAUUAUGGGUUUCACCCCAUGAGCUGCCCGGUUUACUAAUAACAUUACAAAUACUGUAGUUCUAAAGUCCUUGGCUUGUUUUAACUGGCAUAACCUGUUUAUUCUUCUUCCAAGAAAUAUUUUAUGUCUAACUUUCUUCAAAUUCUGAUGCAUACUGAUAACAAAAGGAUCUCUGGUACUUUUUGUGUUUCAGAUUAGAAAAGAAAAAAAAAAGAUAUUCACACAUCGUGUAUAGUCCAAAACACGCAAAAAAAGGCUUCAAGCAUCUGGUUUGCUGUAGCUUUCAGAAUGCUCAGCCUUUAAAGGAGAUUCUUUUCAAAAGGACUUUAACAAUAGAAUAAAUUAAAGGAAUAAACAUUUAUAUUAUGAGAAAAUAAACAACUUUUUAAAAGCAUUUACUUUCUUUUAGUCACCAUGUACAGUAAUUUUUUUCGUGUUUUUAUUUAGAAACUAGUGACUAGAAAGUUCUUAUUUUAGGUAACUGCAAUAAUAUUUUCUUGGUUAAUUAAAAUGGUACUCUAGAUUAGAAAUUGAUGAUGACAUGGUUUGUUAAUCUUACACUAUGUUUAGCUUUCAACUGAAAAAUAACAUGCCAUUAGUCUUCAUUAUUACAUGGCCCAGAAAUAGUAACACAGGUAUUUUUUUUCCUUUUUUUCAAUUUCUAAAAUAUGUCUCUGUUUUAAUUAUGAAGCACUUAUAAAAUUAAUUCUUUCUUCAUAUAAAGAAAAAGUUGCAACAUCAAAUUCAAGAUUUAGAGAUUUGUCGAUCUUUGCUGAAAUAAUUUUGCAACAAAAUAUUGAAAUAAUCGAAAUCUAAUUGUAUAGAUGAAAUAAAAACAUAUAAAUGUGUGUUGAGAUCCCUAAUGUUUGAUUUUUUUUUUUUAAAGCUAAUUGCUGCCUUGGUAAUUAUAGGUACUUCGGAUUUAGUUGUUGAUCACACUGUUUUUUGUUUUGUUUUGUUUCUUUCUUUUUUUUUUUUUUGAGACAGAGUCUUACUCUGUUGCCAGGCUGAAGGUGCGCCAUCUCAGCUCAUUGCAACCUCUGUCUCCCGGGUUCAAGUGAUUCUCCUGCCUCAGCCUCCCGAGUAGCUAGGAUUACAGGUGCGUACCACCACAACCAGCUAAUUUUUGUAUUUUUAGGAGAGACAGAGUUUCACCGUGUUGGCAAGGAUGGUCUCCAACUCCUGACCUUGUGAUCUGCCCACCUUGGCUUCCCAAAGUGCUGGGAUUACAGGCGUGAGCCACCACGCCUGGCCCACACUGGUUUUUUAAAGGUUGUGUAGCUAUAUUGUGCUAAGGCAUUCCUUUAAUAAAAAAAUUAUAAAAUUUUUAACUUCUAAAUAUCCUAUAUAUGAAUUAGC
This 4623-nucleotide long non-coding RNA is filed under the name Macaca mulatta (Rhesus monkey). Its description in RNAcentral is "lncRNA (ENSMMUG00000053437.1)". Lineage: Eukaryota; Metazoa; Chordata; Mammalia; Primates; Cercopithecidae. The record is from RNAcentral.